AUCCUGCUGGCGAGUCCCAAAUAGGACGAAACGCGCGUCCUGGAU
Non-coding RNA from Schistosoma rodhaini, 45 nucleotides. The record is from Rfam. NCBI's taxonomy places the organism in Eukaryota, Metazoa, Platyhelminthes, Trematoda, Strigeidida, Schistosomatidae.